UACGAAGGGGGCUAGCGUUGUUCGGAAUUACUGGGCGUAAAGCGCGCGUAGGCGGUGAUCUUUGUCGGAGGUGAAAGCCCGGGGCUCAACUCCGGAAUUGCCUUUGAAACGGGAUCGCUUGAGUCCGAGAGAGGAUGGCGGAAUUCCUAGUGUAGAGGUGAAAUUCGUAGAUAUUAGGAAGAACACCGGUGGCGAAGGCGGCCAUCUGGCUCGGUACUGACGCUCAGGCGCGAAAGCGUGGGGAGCAAACAGG
RNAcentral lists this ribosomal RNA (253 nucleotides) under uncultured bacterium. RNAcentral's name for it is "partial 16S ribosomal RNA". It matches the Rfam family "Bacterial small subunit ribosomal RNA", at positions 524 to 776 of the family's 1533-position model. The record is from RNAcentral.